AGAGAUGCACUGGGUAUAAAGCGUGCGCAGGCGGUUUUGUAAAACAGAGGUGAAAUCCCCGGGCUCAACCUGGGAACUGCCUUUGUGACUGCAAGGCUGGAGUGCGGCAGAGGGGGAUGGAAUUCCGCGUGUAGCAGUGAAAUGCGUAGAUAUGCGGAGGAACACCGAUGGCGAAGGCAAUCCCCUGGGCCUGCACUGACGCUCAUGCACGAAAGCGUGGGGAGCAAACA
This 230-nucleotide ribosomal RNA is filed under the name uncultured Alicycliphilus sp. Its description in RNAcentral is "partial 16S ribosomal RNA". It matches the Rfam family "Bacterial small subunit ribosomal RNA", at positions 548 to 774 of the family's 1533-position model. The record is from RNAcentral. Lineage: Bacteria; Pseudomonadati; Pseudomonadota; Betaproteobacteria; Burkholderiales; Comamonadaceae.